GAAAUGCGAUAAGUAGUGUGAAUUGCAGAAUUCAGUGAAUCAUCGAAUCUUUGAACGCACAUUGCGCCCUUUGGUAUUCCUUAGGGCAUGCCUGUUCGAGCGUCAUCUAAACCUUCAAGCCCUGCUUGGUGUUGGUUGCCUGUCCCUCCUCCGCGCGCGGACUCACCUCAAAUCCAUUGGCGGCCCCCGCGUCGGCCACGAGCGCAGCAGAAACGCGAACUCGUGAGCCCGUCCGGGCGGCUCCCAGAAGCUACACCCACCCAGUUUGACCUCGGAUCAGGUAGGGAUACCCGCUGAACUUAAGC
Molecule: unclassified non-coding RNA, 305 nt
Filed under: plant metagenome
Description: partial contains 5.8S ribosomal RNA, internal transcribed spacer 2, and large subunit ribosomal RNA
Rfam family: 5.8S ribosomal RNA (bases 1-105)
Source: RNAcentral